UCCUGGUUAGCUUAGUGGGUAAAGUGCUGCACUGGAAAUCGAGAGGUCCGUGGUUCGAUACGUGGACCGGGCG
RNAcentral lists this transfer RNA (73 nucleotides) under Ixodes scapularis (black-legged tick). Its description in RNAcentral is "tRNA-Ser for anticodon GGA". Lineage: Eukaryota; Metazoa; Arthropoda; Arachnida; Ixodida; Ixodidae. The record is from RNAcentral.